This 340-nucleotide unclassified non-coding RNA is filed under the name soil metagenome. RNAcentral's name for it is "partial contains 5.8S ribosomal RNA, internal transcribed spacer 2, and large subunit ribosomal RNA". The stretch from base 1 to 120 matches the Rfam family "5.8S ribosomal RNA", at positions 35 to 154 of the family's 154-position model. The record is from RNAcentral.
GAUGAAGAACGUAGCGAAAUGCGAUAAGUAGUGUGAAUUGCAGAGUUCAGUGAAUCAUCGAAUCUUUGAACGCACAUUGCGCCCGUCAGUAUUCUGACGGGCAUGCCUGUCCGAGCGUCAUUUCAACCCUCAAGCACUGCUUGGCGUUGGCGGAUUGCGUGCCCUCGCGGCGCUGCAACCGCCCAAAUACAGUGGCGGUCCCGCUGCGGCUCCCUUUGCGUAGUAACUCACCUCGCACUGGACCGGGCGGCGGCCUGCCGUAAAACCCCAACUCACGAAAUGUUGACCUCGGAUCAGGUAGGAAUACCCGCUGAACUUAAGCAUAUCAAUAAGCGGAGGA